This 200-nucleotide ribosomal RNA is filed under the name uncultured bacterium. RNAcentral's name for it is "partial 16S ribosomal RNA". It matches the Rfam family "Bacterial small subunit ribosomal RNA", at positions 8 to 226 of the family's 1533-position model. The record is from RNAcentral.
AGAGUUUGAUCCUGGCUCAGAACGAACGCUGGCGGCAUGCCUAACACAUGCAAGUCGAACGCAUCAUCUUCGGGUGGUGAGUGGCGCACGGGUGAGUAGCGCGUGGGAACCUGCCCUCGAGUGGGGGAUAACCGAUGGAAACGUCGGCUAAUACCGCAUACGACCGGGGAAACCUGGGGAAAGAUUUAUCGCUGGAGGAG